UACGUAGGGUGCGAGCGUUAAUCGGAAUUACUGGGCGUAAAGCGUGCGCAGGCGGUUCGUUGUGUCCGAUGUGAAAGCCCCGAGCUCAACUUGGGAAUGGCAUUGGAAACUGGCGGGCUGGAGUGUGGCAGAGGGGGGUGGAAUUCCACGUGUAGCAGUGAAAUGCGUAGAGAUGUGGAGGAACACCGAUGGCGGAAGGCAGCCCCCUGGGCCAACACUGACGCUCAGGCACGAAAGCGUGGGGGAGCAAACAGG
RNAcentral lists this ribosomal RNA (255 nucleotides) under uncultured bacterium. RNAcentral describes it as "partial 16S ribosomal RNA". It matches the Rfam family "Bacterial small subunit ribosomal RNA", at positions 524 to 776 of the family's 1533-position model. The record is from RNAcentral.